This 480-nucleotide ribosomal RNA is filed under the name Letendraea sp. ES119. Its description in RNAcentral is "SSU rRNA". It matches the Rfam family "Eukaryotic small subunit ribosomal RNA", at positions 593 to 1084 of the family's 1831-position model. The record is from RNAcentral. Lineage: Eukaryota; Fungi; Ascomycota; Dothideomycetes; Pleosporales; Didymosphaeriaceae.
AAUAGCGUAUAUUAAAGUUGUUGCAGUUAAAAAGCUCGUAGUUGAACCUUUGGCCUGGCUGGCAGGUCCGCCUCACCGCGUGCACUUGUCCGGCCGGGCCUUUCUUCUGGAGAACCGCAUGCCCUUCACUGGGUGUGUGGGGACCAGGACUUUUACUUUGAAAAAAUUAGAGUGUUCAAAGCAGGCUUUGCUCGAAUACGUUAGCAUGGAAUAAUAGAAUAGGACGUGCGGUCCUAUUUUGUUGGUUUCUAGGACCGCCGUAAUGAUUAAUAGGGACAGUCGGGGGCAUCAGUAUUCAAUUGUCAGAGGUGAAAUUCUUGGAUUUAUUGAAGACUAACUACUGCGAAAGCAUUUGCCAAGGAUGUUUUCAUUAAUCAGGAACGAAAGUUAGGGGAUCGAAGACGAUCAGAUACCGUCGUAGUCUUAACCAUAAACUAUGCCGACUAGGGAUCGGGCGGUGUUCUAUUGGACCCGCUCGGC